This 299-nucleotide ribosomal RNA is filed under the name uncultured bacterium. Its description in RNAcentral is "partial 16S ribosomal RNA". It matches the Rfam family "Bacterial small subunit ribosomal RNA", at positions 338 to 651 of the family's 1533-position model. The record is from RNAcentral.
CCUACGGGACGCAGCAGUGGGGAAUAUUGCACAAUGGGGGAAACCCUGAUGCAGCGACGCCGCGUGAGUGGGGAAGUAUUUCGGUAUGUAAAGCUCUGUCAGCAGGGAAGAAAGAAAUGACGGUACCUGACCAAGAAGCCCCGGCUAACUACGUGCCAGCAGCCGCGGUAAUACGUAGGGGGCAAGCGUUAUCCGGAAUUACUGGGUGUAAAGGGAGCGUAGACGGUUAAGUAAGUCUGGAGUGAAAGGCCGGGGCCCAACCCCGGGACUGCUCUGGAAACUGUUUAUCUAGAGUGUCG